UGGGGAAUAUUGGACAAUGGGGGGAACCCUGAUCCAGCCAUGCCGCGUGUGUGAAGAAGGCCUUAUGGUUGUAAAGCACUUUAAGCGAGGAGGAGGGUACUGGUAUUAAUACUACCAGCUACUGGACGUUACUCGCAGAAUAAGCACCGGCUAACUCUGUGCCAGCAGCCGCGGUAAUACAGAGGGUGCGAGCGUUAAUCGGAUUUACUGGGCGUAAAGCGUGCGUAGGUGGUUCGUUAAGUUGAAUGUGAAAGCCCCGGGCUCAACCUGGGAACUGCAUCCAAAACUGGCGGGCUAGAGUAGGGCAGAGGGUGGUGGAAUUUCCUGUGUAGCGGUGAAAUGCGUAGAUAUAGGAAGGAACACAAGUGGCGAAGGCGACCACCUGGGCUCAUACUGACACUGAGGUGCGAAAGCGUGGGGAGCAAACAGG
Molecule: ribosomal RNA, 430 nt
Filed under: Pseudomonadota bacterium
Lineage: Bacteria; Pseudomonadati; Pseudomonadota
Description: Proteobacteria bacterium partial 16S ribosomal RNA
Rfam family: Bacterial small subunit ribosomal RNA
Source: RNAcentral